RNAcentral lists this small RNA (124 nucleotides) under Marmota monax (woodchuck). The record is from RNAcentral. Lineage: Eukaryota; Metazoa; Chordata; Mammalia; Rodentia; Sciuridae.
GCCAGGCAUGGUGGUGCAUGCCUGUAAUCCCAGCAACACAGGAGACUGAGACAGGAGGACAGGGAUUCAAAGCCAGCCUCAGCAAUGACAAGGAGAUUAGCAACUCUGUGAGACCCUGUCUCUA